UACAGAGGUCUCAAGCGUUGUUCGGAAUCACUGGGCGUAAAGGGUGCGUAGGCGGCGCGGUAAGUCGGGUGUGAAAUCUCGGGGCUUAACUCCGAAACUGCAUUCGAUACUGCCGUGCUUGAGGACUGGAGAGGAGACUGGAAUUUACGGUGUAGCGGUGAAAUGCGUAGAUAUCGUAAGGAAGACCAGUGGCGAAGGCGGGUCUCUGGACAGUUCCUGACGCUGAGGCACGAAGGUCAGGGGAGCAAACGGG
RNAcentral lists this ribosomal RNA (253 nucleotides) under uncultured bacterium. Its description in RNAcentral is "partial 16S ribosomal RNA". It matches the Rfam family "Bacterial small subunit ribosomal RNA", at positions 524 to 776 of the family's 1533-position model. The record is from RNAcentral.